Molecule: ribosomal RNA, 450 nt
Filed under: uncultured Aerococcus sp.
Lineage: Bacteria; Bacillati; Bacillota; Bacilli; Lactobacillales; Aerococcaceae
Description: bacterial SSU rRNA
Rfam family: Bacterial small subunit ribosomal RNA
Source: RNAcentral
AAGCUGGCCACCGGAAACGCGAAGAACCUUACCAAGUCUUGACAUCCCGAUGACCGGUUCGUAAUGGAACCUUUUCUUCGGAAUAUCGGUGACAGGUGGUGCAUGGUUGUCGUCAGCUCGUGUCGUGAGAUGUUGGGUUAAGUCCCGCAACGAGCGCAACCCUUAUCUUCAGUAGCCAGCGAUUCGGUCGGGCACUCUGGAGAGACUGCCAGGGAUAACCUGGAGGAAGGUGGGGAUGACGUCAAAUCAUCAUGCCCCUUAUGACUUGGGCUACACACGUGCUACAAUGGCGUAAACAAAGGGAAGCGAGAGUGUGAGCUUAAGCAAAUCUCAAAAAUAACGUCUCAGUUCGGAUUGUAGUCUGCAACUCGACUACAUGAAGCUGGAAUCGCUAGUAAUCGCGAAUCAGAAUGUCGCGGUGAAUACGUUCCCGGGUCUUGUACACACCGA